CGAACUCUGGUAUUGAUUGGUGCUUGCAUCAUGAUUUACAUUUGAGUGAGUGGCGAACUGGUGAGUAACACGUGGGAAACCUGCCCAGAAGCGGGGGAUAACACCUGGAAACAGAUGCUAAUACCGCAUAACAACUUGGACCGCAUGGUCCGAGUUUGAAAGAUGGCUUCGGCUAUCACUUUUGGAUGGUCCCGCGGCGUAUUAGCUAGAUGGUGGGGUAACGGCUCACCAUGGCAAUGAUACGUAGCCGACCUGAGAGGGUAAUCGGCCACAUUGGGACUGAGACACGGCCCAAACUCCUACGGGAGGCAGCAGUAGGGAAUCUUCCACAAUGGACGAAAGUCUGAUGGAGCAACGCCGCGUGAGUGAAGAAGGGUUUCGGCUCGUAAAACUCUGUUGUUAAAGAAGAACAUAUCUGAGAGUAACUGUUCAGGUAUUGACGGUAUUUAACCAGAAAGCCACGGCUAACUACGUGCCAGCAGCCGCGGUAAUACGUAGGUGGCAAGCGUUGUCCGGAUUUAUUGGGCGUAAAGCGAGCGCAGGCGGUUUUUUAAGUCUGAUGUGAAAGCCUUCGGCUCAACCGAAGAAGUGCAUCGGAAACUGGGAAACUUGAGUGCAGAAGAGGACAGUGGAACUCCAUGUGUAGCGGUGAAAUGCGUAGAUAUAUGGAAGAACACCAGUGGCGAAAGCGGCUGUCUGGUCUGUAACUGACGCUGAGGCUCGAAAGUAUGGGUAGCAACAGGAUUAGAUACCCUGGUAGUCCAUACCGUAACGAUGAUGCUAGUGUGGAGGUUUCGCCCUCAGUGCUGCAGCUACGCAUAAGCAUUCCGCCUGGGGAGUACG
This 843-nucleotide ribosomal RNA is filed under the name Lactiplantibacillus plantarum. RNAcentral describes it as "bacterial SSU rRNA". It matches the Rfam family "Bacterial small subunit ribosomal RNA", at positions 63 to 884 of the family's 1533-position model. The record is from RNAcentral. Lineage: Bacteria; Bacillati; Bacillota; Bacilli; Lactobacillales; Lactobacillaceae.